RNAcentral lists this ribosomal RNA (496 nucleotides) under uncultured bacterium. RNAcentral describes it as "partial 16S ribosomal RNA". It matches the Rfam family "Bacterial small subunit ribosomal RNA", at positions 28 to 507 of the family's 1533-position model. The record is from RNAcentral.
GAUGAACGCUGGCGGCGUGCCUAAUACAUGCAAGUCGAGCGAACGGACGAGAAGCUUGCUUCUCUGAUGUUAGCGGCGGACGGGUGAGUAACACGUGGAUAACCUACCUAUAAGACUGGGAUAACUUCGGGAAACCGUAGCUAAUACCGGAUAAUAUUUUGAACCGCAUGGCUCAAAAGUGAAAGACGGUCUUGCUGUCACUUAUAGAUGGAUCCGCGCUGCAUUAGCUAGUUGGUAAGGUAACGGCUUACCAAGGCAACGAUGCAUAGCCGACCUGAGAGGGUGAUCGGCCACACUGGAACUGAGACACGGUCCAGACUCCUACGGGAGGCAGCAGUAGGGAAUCUUCCGCAAUGGGCGAAAGCCUGACGGAGCAACGCCGCGUGAGUGAUGAAGGUCUUCGGAUCGUAAAACUCUGUUAUUAGGGAAGAACAUAUGUGUAAGUAACUGUGCACAUCUUGACGGUACCUAAUCAGAAAGCACGGCUAACUACGUG